Xenopus laevis (African clawed frog) is the source of this 9868-nucleotide RNA transcript. It is a transcript of the gene named disabled homolog 2-interacting protein, with no coding region annotated. The transcript has 18 exons. Lineage: Eukaryota; Metazoa; Chordata; Amphibia; Anura; Pipidae. The record is from RefSeq and is a predicted model, not a curated record.
UCUCUCUCUCUCUCUGCAACUUUAAAGCUGAUGCAAGAAACCACACGGUGUAACUUUAAAUGCGCCGCUCGGAGAGACUGCUGGAAGCGAUCCUGAAUGCUGCUUGCUUCGAGAGAGAGCGAGAGAGUCGAGAGAGAGAAAGCAGCAGCCAGAUGUAAUAGAAAAGACACAACACACAGCCUUGUGCAUGCAGCUCUCAUUCACAAAUCAGACAGGGAAACCUGGGCUUUUAAUGUCUCUUCUGCUCAGAGAUUUGCAGACCCGAUGCUGUUGUACCAAGCCAUGGAGCCAGAAAAUGUUUUCCAGCUAGAGAACUUCAAUGAGUCGCCGCCUGAAAGAACAGGUAGAAGACGCAGCAUGCCUGGGAGUUCCUCCGAUCAGAGUCCCACCAUGGACCAGUCAGCGACCACCCCAUUUCGAGUCACGGGGUUCCUCAGUCGCCGGCUCAAAGGCUCCAUCAAACGGACAAAAAGCCAACCCAAACUCGACCGAAACAGCAGCUUCCGCCACAUUAUCCCUGGCUUCCGAAGCGUGGACAAUGAAAGGUCCCAUCUAAUGCCGAGAUUGAAAGAAUCGCGGUCUCACGAGUCGUUACUGAGUCCCAGCAGUGCCGUUGAUGCUCUUGAUCUCAGCAUGGAGGAGGAAGUGGUCAUCAAACCUGUCCACAGCAGCAUCCUUGGCCAAGACUUCUGUUUUGAGGUAAAUGCUUCAUCGGGGAGCAAAUGUUUUUCCUGUCGUUCCGCAGCAGAGAGAGAUAAAUGGAUGGAGAACCUACGGCGUGCUGUGCACCCUAAUAAGGUACAGGAUGGAAGCGCUGACUCUAGAGACAACAGCAGGAGAGUAGAGAAUAUGCUAAAACUCUGGAUUAUUGAAGCAAAGGACCUUCCGGCCAAAAAGAAAUACCUGUGUGAACUCUACCUAGAUGAUGUACUUUAUGCACGAACUACUUGCAAACUAAAAACUGAUAACGUGUUUUGGGGGGAGCACUUUGAAUUUAAUAACCUUCCCACACUGAAAAGCAUCACCGUCCACUUGUAUAAAGAGACAGACAAGAAGAAAAAGAAAGACAAGAACAAUUACGUGGGACUGGUCAGUAUCCCUAUUGGGGCGGUGACUGGCAGGCAGUUUGUGGAGAAAUGGUACCCCAUCGUCACUCCCAACCCAAGCAAAGGCAAGGCCUCUGGCCCCAUGAUCCGCAUUAAAACACGCUACCAGAGUAUUAGUAUCCUUCCCAUGGAGAUGUACAAAGAGUUUGCGGAGUAUAUCACCAAUAAUUACAUGGUCCUCUGCUCAACACUGGAAGGAAUCCUUAGCGUCAAGAAUAAGGAGGAGAUGGCAUCUGCUCUGGUCCACAUACUUCAAAGCACUGGAAAAGCCAAGGAUUUCCUCACAGACCUAAUGAUGUCUGAAGUAGAUCGCUGUGGCGACAAUGAGCAUCUUAUAUUUCGGGAAAACACCCUCGCCACCAAGGCCAUUGAGGAGUACCUGAAGCUUGUAGGGCAGAAGUACCUGCAGGACGCUCUGGGUGAGUUUAUAAAAGCACUGUAUGAAUCAGAUGAAAACUGUGAGGUCGAUCCCAACAAGUGUUCCACAUCAGAUCUUCCCGAGCACCAGAGCAAUCUCAAAAUGUGCUGUGAGCUAGCAUUCUGCAAAAUCAUCAACUCCUUUUGCGUGUUUCCAAGGGAACUGAAAGAGGUGUUCGCCUCCUGGAGGCAGGAGUGCAACAGCCGAGGGCGCCCCGAUAUCAGCGAACGCCUCAUUAGCGCCUCCCUUUUCCUGCGCUUCCUCUGCCCGGCCAUCAUGUCCCCAUCCUUGUUCAACCUGCUCCAGGAAUACCCGGACGACCGGACGGCGCGAACUCUCACCUUGAUCGCCAAGGUCACCCAGAACCUUGCCAACUUUGCAAAGUUUGGCAGUAAGGAGGAGUACAUGUCGUUCAUGAAUCAGUUUCUGGAGCACGAGUGGACGAACAUGCAGAGAUUCCUCUUGGAGAUUUCCAACCCGGAGACCAUCUCCAACACGGCCGGCUUUGAGGGCUACAUCGACCUGGGACGGGAGCUCUCCACUCUGCACUCUUUAUUGUGGGAUGUCAUUGCACAGAUGGACCAGGUUACAGUCUCCAAACUUGGGCCACUGCCACGUAUUUUAAGGGAUGUAAAUACAGGGUUGAGUAACCCCUCCAGCAUCCAGAGCUCCAUCUCAAGCGAGCACUCGGCGUCAACGCCAAACGCAAGCAACAGCAUAUCAGCCGGCCUACAGAAGAUGGUAAUAGAGAAUGACUUAACGGGUCUAAUAGAUUUCACAAGGUUACCAUCUCCAACUCCUGAAAACAAGGACUUAUUUUUUGUCACAAGGUCUGCUGGGGUUCAGCCCUCGCCAGCAAGAAGUUCCAGCUAUUCGGAAGCCAAUGAGCCGGACAUGCAGAUAACUAAUGGCAGCAAGAGCUUGUCAAUGGUUGACCUCCAGGACAAUCGUGUGUUGGACAUCGGCACCAACACUUCAGGCAUUGGGGAUUCUUUAAAUGACAGUCAGACAUCUUUUAGCCAGCUGCAAGCAAUAUGGACAGCACGGACACCACAGGGCAAUAUAAUGACAAUGACCACAGCUAGAAGAACAGGACAGACCCCGACCACUCCAAACUCAGACACGACACCGAGUAGACCACAGCUAUUGGCACCUUUAUCAUUCCAAAACCCCGUGUACCAAAUGGCAGCAGGUUUGCCAGUUUCACCACGGGGCUUAGGGGACUCUGGAUCAGAGUGUCAUAGCUCCCUCAGUUCCCAUAGUAAUAGCGAGGACUUAGCAGGAAAUAAACAUGGUUUUAUGAACCCUGGGAGCACAGAGGAUUUCAGUAGGCGAUCUGGAGAUAUGUCUAGGUCUGGGGAUAUGUCUAGGAGGCAACAUUCCUUAUGUGAAAAAAUUGGUCAACCUACAAUGCCACGACAGAACAGUUCAGGCCCUCAGAGGCGAAUAGAUCAACCACCUCCUCCACCACCCCCACCAAUGACCAGGGGAAGGACACCCCCAACGUUAUUAAGCACGGCAACAUACCAGAGACCCUCUAGUGGCAGCAUGAUGUCAUCUUCUCCAGACUGGCCAGGCAGUGGUGCCCGUGUGAGGCAACAGUCGUCAUCCUCCAAAGGCGACAGCCCCGAGAUGAAACAGAGGACACUGCAUCAUAAACAGGCCCCCUCACCCGUGAACCCCAAUGCCCUGGACCGCACAGCUGCAUGGCUGUUGAAUAUGAAUAUGCAGCUAUUAGAAGAUGAAAGCCCUGAGCCAGAUAUCAAGCACAGGGACAAACUCAGGAAUAAGGAAGAGCUCAGCCAAGCAGAAAAGUACCAGCAGGAGAUCAUGAUGUUGCAGGAAAAGCUCAGGCUUUCAAACAAGAAGCUAGAAGAGUAUGAGAUCCGUUGCAAGAGCCAGGAUGAACAAACCCAGAAACUGCUGCUGGAAUACCAGGCCAGGCUGGAGGAAAGUGAGGACAGGCUGAGACGGCAGCAGGAGGACAAGGAGAUGCAGAUGAAAGGAAUCAUCAGCAGGUUGAUGUCGGUGGAAGAAGAAUUAAAGAAAGAUCACAUGGAAAUGCAAGCAGCUGUCGACUCUAAGCAGAAGAUUAUUGAUGCACAGGAGAAGCGCAUUGCAUCACUGGACGCCGCAAACGCACGGCUAAUGAGCGCCCUCACUCAGCUCAAAGAGAGUAUGCAUUAGAAAAAAAACCAUCCCCUAUUCUGGAGUUCUAUCCACUUAAAAUUUGAGAAGCACCCUGCUUGGAAAAUUAAAGGCUCCGAAGAAUGUAAACUACUGGAUCUGCCAAGCGUCUAUUUCCCAUUGUCAGGAAGCUGGGCAGGCCCACAAAGCAGGGUGAUAAGAUUUCUGUGUUGGAGCACGCAGAUUCAGCCCAUUGAAAUGAGUUUUGCACUAGGUAACGUUGUCCUACCACUUGGCGCUCAUCAUUUCCCUCCCUAAAUCUUAAGCAAGUCCACUUCCAUUCUGGAACUACUCAAUGGAAGCCACUUGACACAUGGGACGCCAUAUUGUUUUUGUGACCCUGGUGGAUGUGUUGCCUCUUUCUUACUGGCGGUGGUCUCUGGACAUUGUUUGUAGUCUAUUUAUUUAACUCUGAACAGAUAUGGAGUAGGAUAAAAACCAGUCUGUGCUGUUGGUUUACGUCAACUUCCAGCGAUCCAAAUCAGUGAGAUUUGGUGUUUCAGGACCAAAAAUAACUUUGGAAAACAUGCUGCUUUUAGGGAGUAAAAACUCUCUCUAAUAUCAAUUUCAAAAAAAGAGACAUUUUUUGCAAAUUUAUUACCUCUUAAUGUAAUAAUAAUGGAAGAAACGUUGAAUGUUCCGGGUAGACUUAGACGGUCAUUGGUGAAAGAGUCCUAAUUAACGGACACCUAUCAAGGAAUCGAUUGUGCAUUCUAUAUAUCGUCUCCUAGUUCUAUACUUAUUCAAAGCAAUUUAUACGGAAAAGUUCUACCUAUUUUAUGUACUGAAUGACUGGGUAGUUAUAUGUGCAAAUCAGUUGACCCCCAUCAUGCAAAAGCUUAUUAUGUACGGAAAGAAAUUCACAAUAUGAUGAUAUUUUCCUAUAUAAAAAAGAAACUUACUUAAGGCACACGGCUUUUGCUUUUGGCAAUAAAUUUGAGGAAUUUUACUAAAAGCAUGAUAAUCUUACUGCACUUGAACGAAAAUUUGCUUAGAAAUCUUGAUGCAUUAUUGUUGAGAUACAGUGCCUCCAAGCCAGUGGCUAUGAAAACCUUCUCAUUCUCCAAAUUGAAAUAUAUAUAUAUAUAUAUAUAUAUAUGAAUACACACAUAUAUAGAUAUAUAAAUAUAUAUAUACACAUAUAUUUUCUAGUAAAAUUGGUGCUGUGUAAAGUUUACAUUUCGCAUUUCAAUAUUUAAAGGAAUUUCGUCUGUGGAGGAACAUCAGUCAUUUUCACUGUAGCAUAGAAAAAAAACAAAUGUAAAUACGACAAAGAUUUUGCUACAAAAAUGAAGAAAAAUGUGGAAAUGUUGUAUUGUAUGAACUGGAUAUUAUUAAAACAAAACAAAAAAAAUUGGUUAAAGUUUACAACCUUGGAUUCUGAGAAUUAAAAUAAAUUUCUCCCAAUGAGUUUUCAGCGUAUCUUGGAUACCGGCAAUAGAUCUUUGCAGACAAUCACUUUGUGAUGGAGGGUGCUUACAGCUCUCUUUUUUUGGGGGGGGGAGGGUAUUUCUGUGUAAAGAAAAUUAUUUGCCAAUGCUUCAAAAAAAUGUAUAUUUUAAUUUCUUAUAGACACUGCAAGAUGGGCCUGUUGAUUUGCAGACAAGAAACGGUACCAUGAACAAAUGGUUCAGUGGCGUUGGGUGGAGAAGCGUUGAUAAUGUCACCUACCAAGUAGAAACGCUAUGUGCGAUACAGUUAUGGCACUACCACCUGUUGUCUGGCUUAAUAUACUAAUGGUGGUGUUCCUUACGGUUAUCAGACCUACAAUACAAAGAAGGAGCUUGGUGGAGGAGUCUCUGGCAGAUGUUGUCCAAGCAUACUCAAUAACUUGCUUCUACAGAACGUAAAGUAAAUAUUGGCUGUCGGAACUAACAUAUGUUGUUCUGGGUUUUAAGGAAAUUUGAUAGCUGUUAUUAUGAUUAACUAUGUUAUCUAUGUUACCUUCUAAACUUAAACAAUUAUGAACAAGCCAAAAAUAGCUUCUACCAAUUAUAGUAUGUGCCAUCCCUUUAGAGCCCAUUAUCUAGUUCCACUCAGUGGGAGUGACUUGACUAGGUCUACAAACUAUAUAAUUAUACAAAUGGACUUCCUUGUCUCAACCCUUCCAUUGUCUACAAGCCUAAUGCUAAUAUCACGGACAAUGUCAUAACAAUAAUUACCACCAGUUCAUUAGGACCUCUCUGCGGCACUCAGCAGUCAACAGAAGUUCCCCAACAAUUAUUUCUAUGUUGUGGUCUUCAGUCCCACAAAAAAAGAACUCCAUGUUGCUUUGACUACGAGCUGUACUAUCACCACCAUAGACUAUCAUAGACAAUCCAAGGCUGUAGGAAAUACCAAAUGGCAUCUCUACAGGGCAAAUAAUCUUAAUCAUUUUUUUUGAUUAAUUAUAUUCAUAAACUUUAUAAUUUAUCCCCAUGGGAGUAUUUUUCAUUAUCAAGGUUUUUUUUUUUGUGAACAAGUUUAUUAAAAAAAAUUUAAACUCAGCACCUAAGACCCACUAAUUUAUUUUUUUGCGGGAAAAACAAAAAUUUGUAAAUUUGCCCAUGUUCAUCUCGGCAGGUUUCAUGAUGAAAAUUUGGCCUUGAACUGCUGCAAAAUAGCAACUCCAAAAUGAAUACAUUUGCCCUUUAAUGCUACAUACAACAUAUUAUCUAAUCCAUGUUGAUUUGUCCUAUUUUUCAGUGUCAUUUCAAUUCAAAUAAGCACAGAGGAGAUGAAUAAUGUAGCAAAAAAAGAACCUAGUCUAACGCCGGAUUGUAAGGGGUGGAAAUUGCAUAUCAAUCAGGGCAUUUGCUCCUAUAAAUUCUGUAACCCCAGAAGUUGCAGGGUGUGCUUCCUUUAUUGUUGCCCUCUGGCUAAUGGAACUGCAUGGCAAGUUCAUAUAAUAUGUGUGUGUGUUUAUUGCUACUGCGUCUUUCCAUAUACCACAAUUAGUGUAACCUAUAAGGGCUCUAAUUUACAGGCAUCGCUGGUUCUGGAAAGCCUGAUGAAUGUACAUUGAACCAAACAAAAUGAGAACAAAUUGCUUUCCAUAAGCUCAAGAAUGUCCAAUGGAAACUCUAUGUUCAAGAUAAACCAUGUUCUAUUUCUCUCAGGCAUUUAGCAUUUUUUUUGCUUUGAUUUGCAUAAUGGUACAGAAUGGGUCGGUAAUUUAAGGAAUUCUUCCUUCAGUAUGCAUUAAUUAUAUGUGUUUUAUGCACAAAGAAGAUUGUGGAACAUUUAGAGAAAUGUUGGUUUCAAACUGAAAAAAAAAGGGCAUCGGGAAAUGUCCAACCCGAGACCUUUUGAGUCGAAAUGUGAUUUAUAGGACGCGCUAUCAAUACCCCAGGAUUAAGGAGCUUCUUGGACCUCUUGUAUAGCACUGUGCUCAGUAGUUGAGAAUGGAAGUGUUAUUAGGAAAACAGAACUUCUGCCAUAGCCAAGUCUCCAUAAUGUUUUUUUUUGUUGGUGGAAAAUAGUGGACAACUGAGCAUUGUACUUUAUUGUGACAAUCAGAAACGUGGCUUUAUUAUUUUAAUACAACCCUAGACCAGUUAAGUGAGCUGAUGGAUGGUUGCUCUGUGUUACUGACCAAGUCACCGCAAAAGAUUUUUGUCCACCCCCCCAUCUUUUCUAAGCAUGAAACAGUGCAAAAUGCCUGUUACUGUACACAUACUAUGCAUUCUCAUUGGCUGGAGCAUGUUGGAAUUUAUUUAAGUAGGACAAUAACUGCUGUCCUCUAAAGGAACGGUUUUAGUAGAUAAUCACUAUACAUACCCUUUUGUAAAUAGGAGCCCUUAAACUCCUUGCCAGUAAUCUUUAUUGGUAGACCAUUAUUAAGUAAAUUAAACUGGUCGAACUAUGCCCCUUAAAUCAACUGAAGAACUGCAGGUUGGGCAGCAAUGGUGUAUAGUGUCUGAAUGGUCAUACUGCCUCUCUAUUGUCCCACUGUUGACAUCUUGGCCCAUUUUCUCCCUCUUGCCCUACUAUAUCAGUCUUGUCCUACUGUUGCUUUCUGCUUAAAUGUCACCAUCUUGGUGCACUCUCGCCAUCUUGGUCCACUGUUUCCCUCGUCCCACAGUCACUAAGAUGGUGACAGGAGAGCAAGAUGGUAACUGUGGGGACAAGAGGGAGACAGUGGACCAAGACAGUGACAUUAAACAAGAAAGCAAGAGUAGGACAAGACAAAGAUAGAACUGUUCAGACAUUAUACACCAUUGCUGUCCAGCCUGUAGUCCCUAAGAAACAGUUAACCAUCUUGUUCACUGCUGCCUUCUUGUCCCACUGUCAUCAUCUUGCUCUACUGUCACAUCUAAGUCCACUGUCUCCCUCGUUCCACUAUCACCACCUUGCUCUUCUGUCACCAUCUUGGGUAACCGUCUCCCUCUUGUCCUACUGUCACAUUCUUGCAAUACUGUCACCAUCUUGGUUCACGGUUUCCCUUUUAUCCCACUAUCACUAUCUUUGUGUGAUAGUGGGAUAAUAAUUGUGUUUAAUAAUGGUUCCUUUCCUGUGUAUCCACAUUAAAACAUAUGGUUAGUAGCCGCCAUAUUGUUUUCCAAGAUAGUCCAUGUGGUGGGCCAAUUGUUCACCAUUUUUGGGUUCCUUUCUAAUAUAAUUACAAAGAGAUCUAUGGGGAUCUUGGGGGGGGGGGGCAUAAAAACUCCAGGCCUCUUGUGGCGAACUAAAGAACCUGAUCUGUAGGGCCCACUCUAUGCACCAUUAGAUAUAAAAUGUGAUUAUGUAAUGUAAGGCCAAGUUAAGGUAGCAUGCCUAAUAUUAACACUGAUUAAAAUACGUUAAUUGGUUUCCCAUACCCGACGGUAAGAGAUCGAGUUUGUUAUAAAGGUUCAACAGGCAAUAUUUUGGGAAAGGUUAUUUUUGCUACCUACAUUUAUUAAAAAUGCAAAAACUUCACUAACACAGAGCUGGAGCCGGCAGCUCUGACACAGUAGAUUUUGCAGAACUGAAGCUCUGUGAAAUAAGAAGAGAAUAUCUCAUACUGUUAGCAUUUGUGUGCCUUUCGUACGUGUAUAAUAUAUGCUAUGUAUAAUGGUCUUCUACUGCCAAUCAGAACCUAUAAUAUAGGGUCCCCGCUCUUCCAGUCAUCUUCAUUUUUUAUUAAAGCAUAACUUCCCAAACUCUUCCUAAAGAAAAGGUUAGUGAAUUAGUGCAGUUAUUCUUUAUGUUUAUAGUGGAUUUCUCAUUGCCGAAUUUAUUUAAAUGGCCACUAUUACUAAUGGAAUUUUCGGGGCGAAUGAAUAUUUUUUUUUUCUAUUGGUUGUCUCCUUCUAGCUUCUACCAAGGGCUUAGCGGUUCUGCUUGCAAAUGAAAGCCUAUGCCACACACCAAUGGCAGACACUGGCACCUUUGGGCAGGGAUCAUUCAGAGACAUCACUAGUAAGUGAUAAAAUCAAGAUGGCAAUUUCUUACAAACCCUAUUGUCAUGCCAAUACAAAGAGAUACUACCAAAUUCCAGUUGGCAUUGGUUUUCCUACUAAGCACAAUUCAGCAGGAAUAGCUCCCUAAAUUAGCUAAUAGCCUGUACAGAGAGAUACCCAAAAUCUAUGCCAAUUUAGUAUUUAUCUCUGUACAAAGCACAACCCAGCAGGGAACUGGAAUGCUAAAGUGGCUAUUUAAUGGACAGUGCCAGUUUCUUUGAGAUUAGAAAAGAUUUUAAAUUUAGCAAAAGGCAUAUAUAAAAAUGUAAGUUUGUUGAGUAAAAGAAUCUAGAAAUCUUUUUUUGAAUUUUCUGCAGAGUGAAACAAUAUUACAUAUUUCUUAAAAAUAUAAGCACUGUAUGUGAUACAAGGGUUUUGCAUACAAAUAAAAAAUUACAGGCACUACAAAGGUUUGUGGUGACUUAGCACAUUAAUUAUCUGCCCAUUUUUUGAAGAAAUCAAACAUUAUUUAUCCAUAAAAUAAAAGUUUUCUUUCCAGUUAAAAAAGGAAAGUUUUGACAUUUAUCAUUAAUUAGUAGGCAGUGAUGUUUAUUUCGGUACGAUAAUUGUUAAUAAAAAAUUAAAAAGAACAAAAAAAUUUGGGAAUUUUGCAGCAUAGCACAUAAUUUAGUAACGAUUUUAAAAGGAAAUAGGAUCUGGAUUAAAUAAAAAAAAUAGUAAAUAUAUAAAAACUUUGAUUUGGCUAAUUCCCGCGAUUCACCGCCGGCGAAUAA